RNAcentral lists this unclassified non-coding RNA (412 nucleotides) under soil metagenome. Its description in RNAcentral is "partial contains 5.8S ribosomal RNA, internal transcribed spacer 2, and large subunit ribosomal RNA". The stretch from base 1 to 122 matches the Rfam family "5.8S ribosomal RNA", at positions 35 to 154 of the family's 154-position model. The record is from RNAcentral.
GAUGAAGAACGUAGCGAAAUGCGAUACUUGGUGUGAAUUGCAGAAUCCCGUGAACCAUCGAGUCUUUGAACGCAAGUUGCGCCCGAAGCCGUCAGGCCGAGGGCACGCCUGCCUGGGCGUCACACGCCGUUGCCCCCCCGCGCCCCACACCCAACGCUUUGGGAGCGACCGCGGGGCGGGCUGAUGAUGGCCUCCCGUGCGCUCCGCCGCGCGGUUGGCCCAAAUACCGAGUCCCCGGCGACGUGCGCCACGACGAUCGGUGGUUGAGAGACCUCUGUCGCAAGUCGUGCGCGCCCGUCGCGUCACGCGGGCUCGCAUAGCGCCUCGCGCCGCACCCGGUGCGGAGCUUUCAACGCGACCCCAGGUCAGGCGGGGUUACCCGCUGAAUUUAAGCAUAUCAAUAAGCGGAGGA